ACGGAAGGCAGCAGUGAGGAAUAUUGGUCAAUGGGCGAGAGCCUGAACCAGCCAAGUAGCGUGAAGGAUGACUGCCUUACGGGUUGUAAACUUCUUUUAUACGGGAAUAAAAAAGGCCACGCGUGGCCUCUUGCAUGUACCGUAUGAAUAAGCAUCGGCUAAUUCCGUGCCAGCAGCCGCGGUAAUACGGAAGAUGCGAGCGUUAUCCGGAUUUAGUGGGUUUAAAGGGAGCGUAGGCGGGUCUUUAAGUCAGUGGUCAAAGCGUGUGGCUCAACCAUACCACGCCAUUGAUACUGGAGACCUUGAGUGCACAUAAGGAUGGUGGAAUUCGUCGUGUAGCGGUGAAAUGCUUAGAUAUGACGAAGAACUCCGAUUGCGAAGGCAGCUGUCCGGGGUGUAACUGACGCUAAUGCUCGAAAGUGCGGGUAUCAAACAGGAUUAGAUACCCUGGUA
Molecule: ribosomal RNA, 453 nt
Filed under: uncultured Prevotellaceae bacterium
Lineage: Bacteria; Pseudomonadati; Bacteroidota; Bacteroidia; Bacteroidales; Prevotellaceae
Description: partial 16S ribosomal RNA
Rfam family: Bacterial small subunit ribosomal RNA
Source: RNAcentral